Cinara cedri is the source of this 917-nucleotide non-coding RNA. The record is from the annotation of a GenBank genome assembly. Lineage: Eukaryota; Metazoa; Arthropoda; Insecta; Hemiptera; Aphididae.
GUAGAGGGCGCCUGAAACCAAAGUUAGUUCUAUCCUAAUAUUUAACUUUUAGAUGAAAUAUUUUCAAAUAUACUCUAAAACUGUAAAAUUUGCAAACACACGUGCAAAAGUCCGUUUUUAAAAAAUAUCGUAUUUUAUAUUGUAUAGUGGAGCGAGAAAUGUAUUUGUUUUACAAUGAUGUUUAUUUUUUUUCCCUGUCGACAACUUUUCUACCAGCGGUUUUGCUUCGAUUGAUACAAUGAUAGCACUUUUUCUAAAAAGAAAUCUGACUGGAGUAGUACUUUAGGGAGGGCAUUGUUUUAUUUUCCCAAGAGUUUUCCAAAAAACCCGGGAAAACCUAAGAAAAACAGAAAAAUUGGUACAAUAUAUGGGAAAGAAAUCAUAUGUAAUUAUUUUACCAUAAUAUGACAUAUAUAUAUUGCUGACAAAGUAACACUAUCAACCAAACUCCGCUCAGAAUCGUUUUUUCGUUAACAAUGCUUAAUUGUUGCGUAGGUACAGAUAUACAUUGAAUUUUCCCUCUACUACCUACCCAACUUCACGCCUACAACAGUUACCCAUCCACAUGAGAAAUAUGUCCGUUUUUUUUUAAAUUUCAUAUACUUAUGACAACUGCUAGCUAGGAUGUGCAAACAUGUGCAUAAACGACGACGUGGACGAUGUAGGAGACGUCAUUUAAUGUAAAAAUUUAUAUGAGCAAGGUGGCUGACCCCACAAAUAUACACAGUUGAGAAUAUAAACGAAGAAAAAGAAUAAAAUAACCGAGUUUAUUCAUUAAUCAAAUUGUACUCCGGAAGAGCAAUUCCGAGGACAAAUAUCACGAUAAAUAGAACGAAAAAAAAGUCAUACUUUGUACUACCUGUAAAUAUAUAUAUGUAUACAUACAUAUCUAUUGAAUAGAUUUCGUACAAUAACGU